Ctenopharyngodon idella (grass carp) is the source of this 2828-nucleotide long non-coding RNA. RefSeq lists it as uncharacterized. The record is from RefSeq and is a predicted model, not a curated record. NCBI's taxonomy places the organism in Eukaryota, Metazoa, Chordata, Actinopteri, Cypriniformes, Xenocyprididae. The transcript has 4 exons.
UUACAGGUGAGUUUAAUUUCAUAAAUAACAAUUCUGAAUUGCUUUUUCCUGCAUGACAUACUUUUCAAUAAUAGCAAAAAUCCUCAACUUUGCUUAUUAGACCCCGCUUUGUAAAUAUGAAACAGUAUGCAAAUGAAUUAUAUUAAUAAGUGACUGAGUUAUUAAUAAUUUGCAUUGUCCGCCAUCAACAAUUAGGUCAUUAAUGACCGGGGUUAAAAGGAAGAGCCUUGCACACACACACUCAGUUGAUCAGGAAUAUCAGUCCCAUAAUCGUCAACAUGACUCUUUAAUUGCACAUAAAAGAGUAAGAUGUUACUUACCUCUCUGAAGUCAAGGCCCACAGGACAGUUGAACUCUACCAGCUACAUGCACGUCUGUAUGCACGAGUGAAUGAGGGAGGGAUGCAUGGCUAAGGUUGCGUACCCAGCUGUGCCGGCGAUUUUAAUUAACUCAUCUUUGGAGAGGCCAUACUUCACUCCAGUGUUCUCUGGGACCGUGACCUUCACGCAGCCAUUUAUUUCUCGGGUCAUUGGCUGUUUUGCCUGAUCCACUUCCUUCAGUUCUACGUCCUUCAUUUCUCUUCUUUAUGAAGGUGUAAUCAACACAACUCAAAGACACAUCUUCCCUGCAUGCUAUUCUGUCUCCUUCCCUCAGUUUAAGAUGAACAAUACCAGCUGAGUUGAAGAGGAAGAGUCUGAGGAGUGUGGUUUGUUUUCUCAGCGCUCUGCAUGGGGUCCUGGGGUUCACAGAUGCUCUGCAGGGGUCUGGGUGGACCUUUCCUAAGCCUGUCUGAUCCUGCUCUCCAGUACCUUGUUCAAAGAGAUGGAAAAAAUAUAACAGACCACAACCAGAUGGAACUGGUCUAUUUUUUUCCCCAAGUGUGUUUAUUGUUAUUGUUGUAGGCUUUGGGGAGUCUGUGUGUGUUUGAAAAGAUGCAGAAUUGCGCUUCAUUCCAAUGCAGGUCAGUAGUUUUCUGUAAAGUACUAUAAGAAUUGUUUUAUGGAGAUGUAAAUAGUAUGGAUUACCAUAAAAUUUAUCUUAGUUAUUUACCUGGAACACAUGCAUGGGUAUUGGCUAAAAACAAGACUUUGUGUCUAUAACACAAAUAAAGCAAAUAAAAUAGACAAAAUACAAUAUAUUUUAUGUUUUCCACACAAAUAUUGUACAUACAUGUUUUACUAUUUUCCUGUUAGUAUUGUUAAAAAAAAAAUGUUGCACUUACAAGACAACAUGUACUUUUAAAGUAUGGUAGAGUAAAUUAUUGUUAAAAAUAGGCAUUUGGAUUUACAUAAUAUGACUGUAGGUGGAGACCGGGGAUGGUUAUAACACGGGUUAGAUGUAACACUUCCAGUUUCUCCAAUGAGGAACAAGUUACAAAUCACCUGAUUCACUUCACACAUGCUUCACACAAGUCCUUAUUCCACAUGCAGGAAAGUAGAGCCCUGUGGUGGACACAGCAGAUUUUUAGAGAAAAACUCAUUUUGAUGUAAGAAAGUAACUUUUUUUACUUCAUUUAUUUUUUAUGGCAAUUCCUGCUUUGUAGUUAAACUUGUCAAAGCUAAAUUAUGUUUAUUGUGUGUCUGUAGAUAUUUUUCAUGCAAGUUGUUUGUGCCAAUGUUUUGGCUGUUAGCUGUAAAGGGAGCUAGUUCAUGGCUACAAGACUCUGGGUUAGUUGUAACAUCAAUGAAGAGAAGAGAAAGACAUCAGGUGGAUAUCAUAAUGUUAUCUCACCCUAGGGUCUGUUACAACUAACCCGGACUAUGGGGUGAAUUGUAACAUUUGAAACCAACUAAACCAUGCAUUUUCUGUUUGUGCUGCAAAGAUAACAGCUGUCAUUUAAUAGCUGACAAUUUAACUAGUUUUAACCACAUUUUGAACACACUGACUUAAAAGAACUCCAAGAUACAGACAGAAAUGUCAAAAAAUGUUACAACCGUCACUGGUCUCCCUUAUAAGAGUUAUUUUGAGGGUUUUGGGCCAUACAUUUCUGUGCAUUGCUAAAAAGUUGUGGGCUUGUGCAUGUUCAUAAAGGGUCACCGUGAUGUGCCAAGUAAGACGUUAUUAACAUUUUGUUGAUCCUGGAACAACAUUCCUGUCUGAAAAUGUAGUCUCUCUAAAAUCAGAGGGAAAUGACAGGUGAAUAACACUGAUGUAGAAGCACCUUAAUCUGGUUUUAAGCCUAAACUUGACAUAAACUGUAAGCUUGUCCCUCAAAUCUGAUUGGUUGAUUGGAAUGUCCAGGAUCAACAAAUAUGUUGAUUUAGGAACAUGUUGCACUAGUAGCCACGAGCUGUUCACUGACCAAUACUGCCACUUACAAGCCUUUCCCUCAGUUACCCCCGGUUUCACAGACAAGGUUUAAGCUAGUCCCAGACUAAAGUGUAUGUUUGAGCUGUUUUAAAAAGCAACUUGUACUGACAUAUCUUAAAAUAUGUCACUGCCAUUGUUUUGUCUCAAGAUGGACACCAGUAAUGUUUUUUUCUGGUGUACUUUUAUAAAAGCUACUUAAAUAUCCUAAUUGAACUAAGGCCCAAUCCUGGCUUAGUCUAAGCCCUAUCUGUGAAACCGGGCCUACAUUUAUGGCCCGAUUGAGUAAUUGGAUAUCAUUAUUUAGCAUUUCUAAUGUACACUAUUCAAAGGUUUGGGGUCAGAUUUCUGAAAGAAGGCUGCAUUUAUUUGCUCAAAAAUACAAUAAAACAGUAAUAUCGUGAAAUAUUAUUAAAAUAUAAAUAACUCCUUUCUAUUUUAAUGUUUUUAAAAUAUGGUUUACUGCAGUUGGAUCAUUUUAUACAGGUAAAAAUAAUUUUGUUUAAACUAAAUUAAAAUAA